Long non-coding RNA from Pseudoliparis swirei, 548 nucleotides. RefSeq lists it as uncharacterized. NCBI's taxonomy places the organism in Eukaryota, Metazoa, Chordata, Actinopteri, Perciformes, Liparidae. The record is from RefSeq and is a predicted model, not a curated record. The transcript has 2 exons.
AGGUCUUUGGCCUUCUGGAAGCUCAUGAGCUGUACUCAUUGUGUUCAAGUUAUUCAGGUGCUCUGCAACAUCCACCACGAAUGCAAGCACAGCAGCUCGGCCUCACCAUCGUACCUCGGUGUGGGACGGCAGCCCAUAGCUGUGGUCUUUCUCUCUGAGAAGGAAGUCAACCUGGCGGUGAUUCAGGCCUCUGGAUCGGAUGACAUCAACAGUCUGGACGACCACCUUCAUGACGUUUUCCAUCGUUAAUGACUUGCAACACAAAGCCUCCUGAUGCAAAGUGCAGGGAGAAGUCCCAAAAUCACAUCCUCCAUUUGCAGUCUGCACUUCUUUUCUGAACUGUGUCACAACUCCUGCUUUUCCCCCGAUCAUUGAGGGCGCACCAUCUGUCGCCAUGGUGACAGCGGGGCCAGUCCACUCCGACCCGGUCCAGGGCGCCGACGAGAGCGGUGAAAAUAUCAGCUGCUGUUCCUAGAAAUGUAGAGGAAUAUAUCAUGUAUUUGCUACACCUCAAAUACAAUGUUGAGUCAUUAAAUACAUAAAUAUUG